AUGCAAAGAACUUUGAAAAGAGAGUCAAACAGGGCUUGAAACCGUUAAGAGUGAAGCGAAGGAGGCCAGUGAUCAUGGGACCAGAUCUCCAAGCGCCUGUUUUUUUAUAGGGCGCCGUAGCGUUCUGGUUUUUUCCCGGGGCAGCGCCGGCUGGGGGCGGGUGUUAAAAAGGAGAUGGUUGAGGGAUUUAUUUCCCGCCAGUUUACUCCCUUCUAGCCUGCACCCUGGCCGAGGGAUCCGCGACUACUUGUCGUGUGAGGGCGCUGUCAAAAUGGCCUUCUCCACCCCGUCUUGAAACACGGACCAAGGAGUCUAACAUACCCGCGAGUGUUUGGGUGGUUAAAACCCGAACGCACAAUGAAAGUAAACGGUGGCUCUGCGCCGCUGCUUGGUGGGAACCCUACCUUUUUAAUGGGGGGCACCAUCUCCCGACCCCGAUCCCUUUGGGGUGGUUGGUUUUGAGGCAGAGCGAGUAUGAUGGGACCCGAAAGAUGGUGAACUAUUCCUGAGUAGGGCGAAGCCAGAGGAAACUCUGGUGGAGGCUCGUAGCGAUGCUGACGUGCAAAUCGCUCGUCGAACUUGGGUAUAGGGGCGAAAGACUAAUCGAACCAUCUAGUAGCUGGUUCCCUCCGAAGUUUCCCUCAGGAUAGCGGGAGCAAAUGCAAGUCAGUAUCAUCC
Molecule: ribosomal RNA, 678 nt
Filed under: Wildemania amplissima
Lineage: Eukaryota; Rhodophyta; Bangiophyceae; Bangiales; Bangiaceae
Description: eukaryotic LSU rRNA
Rfam family: Eukaryotic large subunit ribosomal RNA
Source: RNAcentral